Molecule: ribosomal RNA, 468 nt
Filed under: uncultured bacterium
Lineage: Bacteria
Description: partial 16S ribosomal RNA
Rfam family: Bacterial small subunit ribosomal RNA
Source: RNAcentral
GACGAACGCUGGCGGCGUGCUUAACACAUGCAAGUCGAACGGAAAGGCCCUGCUUUUGUGGGGUGCUCGAGUGGCGAACGGGUGAGUAACACGUGAGUAACCUGCCCUUGACUUUGGGAUAACUUCAGGAAACUGGGGCUAAUACCGGAUAGGAGCUCCUGCUGCAUGGUGGGGGUUGGAAAUUUUCGGCGGUUGGGGUUGGACUCGCGGCUUAUCAGCUUGUUGGUGGGGUAGUGGCUUACCAAGGCUUUGACGGGUAGCCGGCCUGAGAGGGUGACCGGCCACAUUGGGACUGAGAUACGGCCCAGACUCCUACGGGAGGCAGCAGUGGGGAAUAUUGCACAAUGGGCGGAAGCCUGAUGCAGCAACGCCGCGUGCGGGAUGACGGCCUUCGGGUUGUAAACCGCUUUCGCCUGUGACGAAGCGUGAGUGACGGUAAUGGGUAAAGAAGCACCGGCUAACUACGUG